AGUGAACGCUGGCGGCAGGCCUAACACAUGCAAGUCGAACGGCAGCACAGGGGAGCUUGCUCCCUGGGUGGCGAGUGGCGGACGGGUGAGGAAUACAUCGGAAUCUACCCUGUCGUGGGGGAUAACGUAGGGAAACUUACGCUAAUACCGCAUACGACCUUCGGGUGAAAGCCGGGGACCUUCGGGCCUGGCGCGAUUGGAUGAGCCCAUGUCGGAUUAGCUAGUUGGCGGGGUAAAGGCCCACCAAGGCGACGAUACGUAGCUGGUCUGAGAGGAUGAUCAGCCACACUGGAACUGAGACACGGUCCAGACUCCUACGGGAGGCAGCAGUAGGGAAUAUUGGACAAUGGGCGCAAGCCUGAUCCAGCCAUGCCGCGUGAGUGAAGAAGGCCUUCGGGUUGUAAAGCUCUUUUGUCCGGAAAGAAAAGCAUCCAGUUAAUACCUGGGUGUCCUGACGGUACCGGAAGAAUAAGCACCGGCUAACUUCGUGCCAGCAGCCGCCGUAA
Molecule: ribosomal RNA, 506 nt
Filed under: uncultured bacterium
Lineage: Bacteria
Description: partial 16S ribosomal RNA
Rfam family: Bacterial small subunit ribosomal RNA
Source: RNAcentral